GACGAACGCUGGCGGCGUGCCUAAUACAUGCAAGUAGAACGCUGAAGAGAGGAGCUUGCUCUUCUUGGAUGAGUUGCGAACGGGUGAGUAACGCGUAGGUAACCUGCCUUGUAGCGGGGGAUAACUAUUGGAAACGAUAGCUAAUACCGCAUAACAAUGGAUGACCCAUGUCAUUUAUUUGAAAGGGGCAAAUGCUCCACUACAAGACGGACCUGCGUUGUAUUAGCUAGUAGGUGAGGUAACGGCGCACCUAGGCGACGAUACAUAGCCGACCUGAGAGGGUGAUCGGCCACACUGGGACUGAGACACGGCCCAGACUCCUACGGGAGGCAGCAGUAGGGAAUCUUCGGCAAUGGGGGCAACCCUGACCGAGCAACGCCGCGUGAGUGAAGAAGGUUUUCGGAUCGUAAAGCUCUGUUGUAAGUCAAGAACGAGUGUGAGAGUGGAAAGUUCACACUGUGACGGUAGCUUACCAGAAAGGGACGGCUAACUACGUG
Molecule: ribosomal RNA, 497 nt
Filed under: uncultured bacterium
Lineage: Bacteria
Description: partial 16S ribosomal RNA
Rfam family: Bacterial small subunit ribosomal RNA
Source: RNAcentral